UCCAGGCAUCCAGGGGCAGCCACAGGAAACCUGUGCCAGGGCCUCAGCAGCCUCACAGGGAAGAAUUGACAUAAUUAAUGUAACUAACAUAGUUCCUUCUGAAGGUCCAAUGGUGAAAAGCAUCCCUGUAGCUUCAGCUGAUGAAUUUCAACACUGAAAGGCACAAAAAACCCCAGAAGAAAUGGAGCUCAAGCUGGCCAGGACGAACAUUUCCUCUCCUGCUGCCAAUUAUGGGGCAAGGAUUACAUCACAGCGUGUUAGUAGAAUUAAAUAUCUAUUUGAACUUUGCUUCUCGUGUACUUUUUAAUUUUAAUAUUAUUUAUUCUUUGACUUUCAAUAAUUCAUCGAGAUGCGUCCAUAUCGGUAAUUAAAACAUGUACAGUAAGAAACAGAGCUCACAUAAAUUAUUCCACGGCAUUCAUUAUUUAUUUGGCCACUUACAGCUGUGCAAAAUUUACAGAGAAAAUAUGUACAUUAAUUAACAUGUACAUUACAAUUUCAUGAGUGCACUUUUUCGGUGAGUAAAGAUACUCAGAUAUGGGUGUGUGCGCAGCUAGAGAGGUCUUGCUUGUGCCUUUUAAAUUAUUUAGGUUUAAGAAGAGGUCUGUGGUUGGAAUCCAGGAGGAGCUGCUCGGGGGAAGCCUUUCUGCUGGCCUUACACGUGUGGUGGCAAAGUGGUUUUUUCCAAAGCUGCCAGGAUUCCUGAGCCAAGCUCAGGGAUGGAUGUUUGGCUGUGUUGUACAGCCACGGGCACUGAGUAGAGCAAGGGACAAGAGAAAAUCUGAUAUUUCACACCCUCUGGUGUAAUUUCCUGUGGUUGAGUCUAUCAGGGAGCGCUGGUGCCAUGGUGGUCCCACUGCAUUUCUUGGCUGGUGUGUCCUGGAGGGUGAGGCUCAGGACAAGGCCCUGCAGAAGACUCUCAGAGGGGUUCUGGAGGCACCACUGUUGAUUUUUACCCCCACAGAUUCCAGCUGAGGCUGCUGCAAAGUGACUCCAGUUCUAAAACCAGCUCUGGAAAAGGUCCUGUGCAUCAGCACUGAGGCACAGCUCAAACAACGAGGAGUUUCUUUGUGCCAAGCGGAUUAAAAAUACCCAAACCAACCCAACCAAACAACUCACGGAUUCUAUCGUCGUCUGAAAGGGAAAAGAAACAUUUUUAUUCAGUGCCACAAAAUUUGCAUCAAUAACAAGUCCAGUAGCACACCAGGAAAUUUCCACAUGAGUAAACUCCACUCACUGCAAAAAGGCUUGUAUCCACUCCUGGAAUUUAAUGGUUCAGCUGGCAUGUGAAAGCUGUUAUUUGGAGGUUUAAUUAUUAAGAUCAAAUUAAAUUUCA
This 1336-nucleotide long non-coding RNA is filed under the name Cyanistes caeruleus (blue tit). Its description in RNAcentral is "lncRNA (ENSCCEG00000008092.1)". The record is from RNAcentral. Lineage: Eukaryota; Metazoa; Chordata; Aves; Passeriformes; Paridae.